UUUAAGAGAUACCAAACUAGUGAUGCAACAUAAUGAACCUAUUAACUUGUAUUUUAAAAGAGAACCUUAGAAAGGCCAUACUUAGGACUCUAAAAUUUUCAUUCUACUUAUGAUCUAACCAUGGGGGAUUUUGGAAAGAUCAUAACCUCAGAGAAUGGCAUCAGACUAAUACCUGCAUGGAAAUUUGCACAGGAUUUCAGAUUCCAAUCAUUGAGUUCAGGCCAGUUUAAAUACAAAGCUCGCAAGUAAAUUCACAAGUUCAAUAUUUGAAGACCAAAAUUGACUCAAGAAAAUGCUUUAUAUGCUUAAUUAUCAUUUUAGGAUACUUCAAUUAUGUGAAUACAAGAAAAAAAAAGUAUUUUCUAUUUCACUCUUUUUUUCAUUUGUUUCUUAGAAAAAAACUUAAUUUCUUAAGCAUUUCUUUUCACAUAAAACUUUAUAUUAUAAAAACUAUUACUUGUUAUUUAUUACUAUUAUUAUUGUAAUAAUUCAUACAAUGAUCAAAAGAAAGAAAGAAAGAAAGGAAAAAUCAUUGCAUGAUAAAAUUGCUCUAUAGAAUAUAUUAAGUUAAUAAACAAAUUCAUUUUUAAAAUUUUCUUAUGCUUAUUGUAAGUAAUUCACUUUCAUAGCAAUCACAUUUAGCUCUAGCAUAUUCAAUAUCAAAAACGAAAAAAAAAAGGAACAAAAAGUAAAUAAAUAAAUAAAUAAGUUUCUUCCAGACCAAUAAGCUGAUAUCAAAUUGUCCAACUUUGUAUGAUGAGGUUAGAGAGAUGGCAACCCCAGUUGCAAUCCUAUUGUUUUGGUCAAGGGUUUACUUGUUAUCUAUCAUGCUUAAGGUUAAUCCCCAACAUGAUAAAUCUAGACUUAAUGAUAAAACUUAUGAAAUAGUUUUAUGUUGUUACCUUUUCUACAAAAAGAAAAUAAGAAACUAUUAAUUAUUAAUUUUAUCAAACUUCUAUCACAUUUUCUAAGAAAAAUAGGAAAAAAAAUUCAUUAAUAUCUUGUUGUUUCCUUCUUUUUUUCAAGAUAACAAUGGAGCUACUCCAAAGGUUUCAACUUUUCUAUGCUUUCUCUUUACUGUUGUCUUGACAAAGUCUCACUUUGUCCACCCUGCUAAUAAGCAAACAUGCCAUUGGAGUGAUGAUAUUGGCCCUACUAGGGACUAGAUUUUUAUUCAACUUAAGAGAAACCUAGCCAUAGAAAGUGCAUCCACACAAAGAAAGAAAAAGGAAAUGUCUUAUCUUCAAAAUGAAGGGGCCAAGUAAGAGAGAUGCCUAUUACCCCCACCCAGUAAAAGAAUGAAAAAGAAAAAUCAAAUGAACAUGACAUAAAAGAUAGUAAAAGGUUUGGAGACUGGAAUUCAAUGAAUUAUAGCUCAUUGUAUCAUGUGGAGAGUUAGGCUAUAAACUUGUUUUUAUGCUAGCGAAACAUAGUGAAGCAUUGAAAGGAGAGUUUUUUAAAUUAUUGAUACAUAGGGUAGUCAAUGGAUGACGAGGAUGGCUGAUGUUAGCAAAUAGCUAAACAAGAAGCUUAAUAGUAAACCCCUUUCAGAUAUAUGGCUAGAGGGACUAGUAAGAUGAAAUCAUUAAAUGAAUCUUUGUUUCUUUGAUGGGGAUUGCAUUUUUUUUUCUUUUUCUCUGAUGGAACUUUGAAGUUACAUUAUAUUUUGAGAAAACCAAAAAAACAUGAAAAACUGGAGAAAAAAAAAACACUCGACAAAACUCCUAGCACCCAAAAAUGAAGGUAUAUUAAAGUAAAAGUAAAAUUUUUUGGUUAUUGUGUCUUUGAUUAAAUGAUCUGUAACUUGAAAACCAAAAAGAAACAAAGAAAAAAAAACAAAAAAGAGAAUGAUCAACCAAAAGAAAAAAAAAAAUGAAUCCCAAAUAGUUAGUGUGGAUACAUUGAAGCCUCUUCCACCAAAUCAAUUAGGUGAAAUAUGGGUUCGAGGGCAAACAUGAUGUAGGGCAAAGUUUGAUCAAAAGUUUGUGUUAGUUCCUCUUCGCAACGAUUUCUAACAACAGGUGACCUUAUCUGAAUCGCCCAAUUAAUUAGGUUCCAUUCAAAUCGAACCAUCUUAAUUAGAAAGGAAACAUGGUGGUUAAGACAUCAAUUUUGGUUAAAAUCAAAUUAUUAAUGUUUUAAUUUUGCCUUGUAUUGACUUGUGAAGCCAAACAAUGUAUUCCUAAUCAGACUGCUUAAUCUCACAAGUGGCUUGCCUUGUGCUGUGGGACCUCCUAAGCUAACCCUCAUCUUGCUAACAUCUGAUUUGCCAAAUUAGGCAGAUUAGACCAGUCAGACCUAUUAUAACAUAUAACUGAAUACCUAAGAUCCAAAGUUUGAUUCUUUCAAUUGGUCUUUCAAUUAGAACUCUAUGACAUAUGUGAAAUAUAAAACUGCUUCUGAAUUUUGUAUCUCUUUGUACCAUUGAGUUUCAAAUAUUCCACAUUAAGGAAAAUGGGUUCUCAAUAAAAGAGAAUGAAAUAAUGGUAAGAUUUUCAUUCUCGAAUAUUUAUAAGCCAAUCUUGGCUAUUACAUCUUGAUCUGUAGCUAACUCUCUUGCCAAUUUGGUUGGAGCUAACUCUCUUAGGAUGUGAAUUGCCUGAGAUAUGAUGGCCUCAAAUGACAACAGAAAGGAAAGGAAAAACCAACCAGAAAGAAAAGGAAUUUGAUAAUUAGUAAAUUGGCAGGAAGAAAAAGAAAAUGCAUUCAACCUAGUAGAUAAAAUUAGUAAAGUGUCUCUCUUAUAAGCAUAAGAAUUUCCACUCAAAGAACAAAUAUCAAGCUUAUGUCAAUCAACUGAAUUAAAAAUGUAAAAAUGAGCCUAAAAAGUCAAUUCCUGAUUUUUAAGAAGUUAGAAAAUCACAAAAUUGCAUUUGCCCCAUACAUGAGAUAACAAGAUAUGUAUAGAAGUAAAAGAAUGGUUGGUGAAAAACAGAUGUUGAAGUCCAUUUAAGAUUACCACUUGAAUUUUAAGAAAUUAAAAUUGAGGAAGGUAAAUUAGGAAGCCUUUUCCCUCCAAAAUUGCAUAAACCCCAAAACCUAUCCAAUGUUUCUCCUGAAUAGCAAUUGUACAUGAGAUAAAUAUAAUCAAAUGACAUGAUUUUCAACAUCUGAAUUUUCAGAUAUUUGACAAAAUGCUUUUAGUCCAUACCCAUUAAUUUCGAUAAACUUAAUAUUCAUUUUUCCCCUUCUUCUUAGUGUUUACAUGAAGAACAAAAUUAGUCCAAGGGGGUUACUACUUUGAUGGAUUCAAAAUAAAAAAUAAAUAAAUAGAUAAAUAAAAUGAAAAAAAGAAAAGAAAAAAGAAACAAGAUUAAGAUGAGUCAAAGUGUAGCAUCCUAAUUAGGAAGAGCUUUGUUCUAUCUGAAGCUUCCAUAGCCUUUGAUUUCAUUAGGUGCAGACAAGGCACUAUAAUAAUAGUAGACUGCAUUGAAUUUCAUGUCACUAAAAUUUUCAACUUCAUCUUAUGCACGGAAGACAAAAAAACACAAAAGAGAAGGGACACGAGCAAUCAUUGCUUCCAAGCUAAGCUUCGAUGCACAUGAAAAUGGAAAGAAGAAUAAGAGUGCAGAGAUGGGGUAUGUGAAAGUAUGGUGAGGGAUUGAUACUCAUAAUAAUUAGUAAAUAUAUACCAGGGAAUCCAAACACAAACCUUAACCCUAACCCUAACUAGAAAAAGAGAGAUGAGAGGAAAUAGAAGUGAUGAAAAGAAACCCAAUUUGAAAUCAAAGAAAGAAAGAAAGGAAUAACAGAGUGUGAAGCCGUGGAAGGAAUCGAAAGAAUACCUGGAAGAUGUGGGCGAUGAAGUGGCUAAAGAAAUUGGUCGUUGAGCGAGUUGGUCAUUGAUCUAAGCCCCCUAAGUGAUGAGGAUGUCAGUGAUGACAAGAAUCUACUUGGAGAAAUAUACAGUGAUGAGAAUGGGUAUUAUGGCUUUGGAAGAAGAGUUCAAUGGUCUCAAUGGUGGCUAAGAAGAGUGAAUGAUAAAAGACAUGGCUCUUAGUGGGUCCAGCAAUCUAAACUGAGCAGGAGAGAUAGUGCUUAUAUAGUGGCUCUAUGGUCGCGGACAAGCCCAUGUG
This 4076-nucleotide long non-coding RNA is filed under the name Vitis vinifera (wine grape). Its description in RNAcentral is "long non-coding RNA (VVIN_LNC005560)". The record is from RNAcentral. Lineage: Eukaryota; Viridiplantae; Streptophyta; Magnoliopsida; Vitales; Vitaceae.